GAAUGCUUGGUUGAAUAGGGAGAGGUAUUAGCAGUAGAAAGAGGGAAGUGCUCAUGCCAUUAUACAGAACACUGGUGAGGCCUCACUUGGAGUAUUGUAUGCAGUACUGGAGACCGCAUCUUCAGAAGGAUAUUGAUACUUUAGAGAGAGUUCAGAGAAGGGCUACUAAACUGGUUCAUGGAUUGCAGGAUAAAACUUACAAGGAAAGGUUAAAG
Non-coding RNA from Pelobates cultripes (western spadefoot toad), 215 nucleotides. The record is from the annotation of a GenBank genome assembly. Lineage: Eukaryota; Metazoa; Chordata; Amphibia; Anura; Pelobatidae.